GCAGUUGUUCAUGGACAGAGUGUCUGUUCUGAAACAGAUACCUGAUGGUAUGUUGCAGCUGCAAAGAGAUGCAAAGACUGUCACAGGGGAGCUACCGUCCUUGGAUCUUUUAUCUUCUCUAACACCCUUUCAAAAUUGCCUAAUCAUUUGCGACUCAGUUGGACAGGUAAUUAUGAAAUAUAAUAGAGAAUCUGGUGAGAGCUCAAGCAUCCAAUUUUCAAAUUUUGGGGUCAAUGGAGGAGAAAGGGCGAUGGUUGGAGGUCAAUGGAAGCUAGAUAUUUGAUCCCACAAUUUAAGUAUAUAUUGGGAAUGGAGAAAGGGCGAUAGGUUGGAGGUCAAUGGAAUUGGGAAUGGAGAAAGGGCGAUAGGUUGGAGGUCAAUGGAAUUGGGAAUGGAGAAAGGGCGAUCGGUUGGAGGUCAAUGGAAGCUAGAUGUUUGAUCCCACAAUUUACUAGAUGAUAGAAGUUAUGAACCAGUAUCUAUCGGAGUUUCCAAUUGUGGCAAUGUAUACCGAGUUUCUAGGUAAAAAUUAAAUGUUGGUGGUGAAGAGUUAUUUAGGAAUUUUUUGAGUUUUGUUUUACAUUCAUCUUUUCUGAGAAUUAUAAGAUCGUGAAACCAAAAAAGUGAAUUGACUGA
This is a non-coding RNA of Cucurbita pepo subsp. pepo (vegetable marrow), 636 nucleotides long. NCBI's taxonomy places the organism in Eukaryota, Viridiplantae, Streptophyta, Magnoliopsida, Cucurbitales, Cucurbitaceae. The record is from RefSeq and is a predicted model, not a curated record.